CUGGCUCAGGACGAACGCUGGCGGCGUGCCUAAUACAUGCAAGUCGAACGGUCUUUCUAUGGAAGCUUGCUUCCACUGAGAAGAUAGUGGCGAACGGGUGAGUAACACGUGGGUAACCUGCCCAUAAGAGGGGGGAUAACAUCCGGAAACGGGUGCUAAUACCGCAUAGUUUUCUUGAUCGCAUGAUUGAGAAAGGAAAGACGGCCUUUGUGCUGUCGCUUAUGGAUGGACCCGCGGCGUAUUAGUUAGUUGGUGAGGUAACGGCUCACCAAGACGAUGAUACGUAGCCGACCUGAGAGGGUGAUCGGCCACAUUGGGACUGAGACACGGCCCAAACUCCUACGGGAGGCAGCAGUAGGGAAUCUUCCGCAAUGGACGAAAGUCUGACGGAGCAACGCCGCGUGAGUGAAAGAAGGUUUUCGGAUCGUAAAACUCUGUUGUCAGAGAAGAACAAGUUGGAGAGUAACUGCUCCAGCCUUGACGGUAUCUGACCAGAAAGCCACGGCUAACUACGUGCCAGCCGCCGC
Molecule: ribosomal RNA, 527 nt
Filed under: uncultured bacterium
Lineage: Bacteria
Description: bacterial SSU rRNA
Rfam family: Bacterial small subunit ribosomal RNA
Source: RNAcentral